GAUCCUGGCUCAGGAUGAACGCUAGCUACAGGCUUAACACAUGCAAGUCGAGGGGCAGCAUUGGGAUAGCUUGCUAUUCCAGAUGGCGACCGGCGCACGGGUGAGUAACGCGUAUCCAACCUUCCCCUUAGUAGAGGAUAGCCCGGCGAAAGUCGGAUUAAUACUCUAUGUUGUGUUUUUGAGGACAUCUGACGAACACCAAAGGCUUACCGCUAAGGGAUGGGGAUGCGUCUGAUUAGCUUGUUGGCGGGUAACGGCCCACCAAGGCGACGAUCAGUAGGGGUUCUGAGAGGAAGGUCCCCCACAUUGGUACUGAGACACGGACCAAACUCCUACGGGAGGCAGCAGUGAGGAAUAUUGGUCAAUGGGCGAGAGCCUGAACCAGCCAAGUAGCGUGCAAGGAAGACUGCCCUAUGGGUUGUAAACUGCUUUUAUCAGGGAAUAAAGUGCGGCACGUGUGCUGUUUUGUAUGUACCUGAUGAAUAAGGACCGGCUAAUUCCGUGCCAGCCGCCGC
RNAcentral lists this ribosomal RNA (515 nucleotides) under uncultured bacterium. Its description in RNAcentral is "bacterial SSU rRNA". It matches the Rfam family "Bacterial small subunit ribosomal RNA", at positions 15 to 518 of the family's 1533-position model. The record is from RNAcentral.